RNAcentral lists this ribosomal RNA (440 nucleotides) under uncultured bacterium. RNAcentral describes it as "bacterial SSU rRNA". It matches the Rfam family "Bacterial small subunit ribosomal RNA", at positions 338 to 793 of the family's 1533-position model. The record is from RNAcentral.
CCUACGGGUGGCAGCAAUUAGGAAUCGUGCGCAAUGGACGAAAGUCUGACGCCGCGACGCCGCGUGGAGGAUGAAGGCCUUCGGGUUGUAAACUCCUUUUAUAGUCGAGCAAGUUCUGAGUGUAGACUAUGAAUAAGCACCUUCUAACUACGUGCCAGAAGAAUCGGUGAUGCGUAGGGUGCAAGUGUUAUCCGGAAUCAUUGGGCGUAAAGAGAGCGUAGGCGUUUUCUUAAGUUACUUGUUAAACCUCGCGGCCUAACCGUUGAGAUGCAAGUGAUACUGGGAAAAUUGAGGAUGUCAGAGGAGAGGAGAACACCUGGUGGAGCGGUGAAAUGCGUUGAUAUCAGGUGGAAUACCAGAGGCGAAGGCGCCUCUCUGGGACAUUACUGACGCUGAGGCUCGAAAGCUAGGGUCGCAAAACGGAUUAGAUACCCGAGUAG